RNAcentral lists this transfer RNA (73 nucleotides) under Lachnospiraceae bacterium. RNAcentral describes it as "tRNA-Thr". It matches the Rfam family "tRNA". Rfam says of the family: Transfer RNA (tRNA) molecules are approximately 80 nucleotides in length. Their secondary structure includes four short double-helical elements and three loops (D, anti-codon, and T loops). Further hydrogen bonds mediate the characteristic L-shaped molecular structure. tRNAs have two regions of fundamental functional importance: the anti-codon, which is responsible for specific mRNA codon recognition, and the 3' end, to which the tRNAs corresponding amino acid is attached (by aminoacyl-tRNA synthetases). tRNAs cope with the degeneracy of the genetic code in two manners: having more than one tRNA (with a specific anti-codon) for a particular amino acid; and 'wobble' base-pairing, i.e. permitting non-standard base-pairing at the 3rd anti-codon position. The record is from RNAcentral. Lineage: Bacteria; Bacillati; Bacillota; Clostridia; Lachnospirales; Lachnospiraceae. RNAcentral also lists the same sequence under 1 other name.
GCUUCUGUAGCUCAGUUGGUAGAGCGCAUCCUUGGUAAGGAUGAGGUCUCCGGUUCAAGUCCGGUCAGAAGCU